This 319-nucleotide ribosomal RNA is filed under the name Escherichia coli. RNAcentral describes it as "partial 23S ribosomal RNA". It matches the Rfam family "Bacterial large subunit ribosomal RNA", at positions 2629 to 2925 of the family's 2925-position model. Lineage: Bacteria; Pseudomonadati; Pseudomonadota; Gammaproteobacteria; Enterobacterales; Enterobacteriaceae. The record is from RNAcentral.
GUUCGGUCCCUAUCUGCCGUGGGCGCUGGAGAACUGAGGGGGGCUGCUCCUAGUACGAGAGGACCGGAGUGGACGCAUCACUGGUGUUCGGGUUGUCAUGCCAAUGGCACUGCCCGGUAGCUAAAUGCGGAAGAGAUAAGUGCUGAAAGCAUCUAAGCACGAAACUUGCCCCGAGAUGAGUUCUCCCUGACUCCUUGAGAGUCCUGAAGGAACGUUGAAGACGACGACGUUGAUAGGCCGGGUGUGUAAGCGCAGCGAUGCGUUGAGCUAACCGGUACUAAUGAACCGUGAGGCUUAACCUUACAACGCCGAAGCUGUU